UACGUCCCUGCCCUUUGUACACACCGCCCGUCGCUCCUACCGAUUGAAUGACUCGGUGAAAUCAUUAGAUCAUUUUUUAAAUGAAAAGGUGAUUAAAUCACGUUAUUUAGAGGAAGGAGAAGUCGUAACAAGGUAACGGUAGGUGAACCUGCCGUUGGAUCAG
RNAcentral lists this ribosomal RNA (163 nucleotides) under Dientamoeba fragilis. RNAcentral describes it as "partial 18S ribosomal RNA". It matches the Rfam family "Eukaryotic small subunit ribosomal RNA", at positions 1646 to 1829 of the family's 1831-position model. Lineage: Eukaryota; Parabasalia; Tritrichomonadida; Dientamoebidae. The record is from RNAcentral.